RNAcentral lists this ribosomal RNA (898 nucleotides) under Cosmospora berkeleyana. Its description in RNAcentral is "LSU rRNA". It matches the Rfam family "Eukaryotic large subunit ribosomal RNA", at positions 38 to 965 of the family's 3401-position model. Lineage: Eukaryota; Fungi; Ascomycota; Sordariomycetes; Hypocreales; Nectriaceae. The record is from RNAcentral.
GCAUAUCAAUAAGCGGAGGAAAAAGAAACCAACAGGGAUUGCCCUAGUAACGGCGAGUGAAGCGGCAACAGCUCAAAUUUGAAAUCUGGCCCUCGGGUCCGAGUUGUAAUUUGUAGAGGAUGCUUUUGGUGCGGUGCCUUCCGAGUUCCCUGGAACGGGACGCCAUAGAGGGUGAGAGCCCCGUCUGGUUGGACACCAAGCCUCUGUAAAGCUCCUUCGACGAGUCGAGUAGUUUGGGAAUGCUGCUCUAAAUGGGAGGUAUAUGUCUUCUAAAGCUAAAUACCGGCCAGAGACCGAUAGCGCACAAGUAGAGUGAUCGAAAGAUGAAAAGCACUUUGAAAAGAGGGUUAAAUAGUACGUGAAAUUGUUGAAAGGGAAGCGCUUGUGACCAGACUUGAGCCCGGUUAAUCAUCCAGCCUUCUGGCUGGUGCACUUGGCCGGCUCAGGCCAGCAUCAGUUCGGCGUGGGGGAUAAAGGUUUCGGGAAUGUGGCUCCUCCGGGAGUGUUAUAGCCCGUUGCGUAAUACCCUGUACUGGACUGAGGUUCGCGCAUCUGCAAGGAUGCUGGCGUAAUGGUCAUCAGCGACCCGUCUUGAAACACGGACCAAGGAGUCGUCUUCGUAUGCGAGUGUUCGGGUGUCAAACCCCUACGCGUAAUGAAAGUGAACGCAGGUGAGAGCUUCGGCGCAUCAUCGACCGAUCCUGAUGUUCUCGGACGGAUUUGAGUAAGAGCAUACGGGGCCGGACCCGAAAGAAGGUGAACUAUGCCUGUAUAGGGUGAAGCCAGAGGAAACUCUGGUGGAGGCUCGCAGCGGUUCUGACGUGCAAAUCGAUCGUCAAAUAUGGGCAUGGGGGGCGAAAGACUAAUCGAACCUUCUAGUAGCUGGGUUUCCGCCGAG